UACGGAAGAUGCGAGCGUUAUCCGGAUUUAUUGGGUUUAAAGGGAGCGUAGGCGGCCUGUUAAGUCAGCGGUUAAAUGUCAGUGCCCAACAUUGGCAUGCCGUUGAUACUGGUGGGCUUGAAUACACACAAGGAUGGUGGAAUUCGUUGUGUAGCGGUGAAAUGCUUAGAUAUGACGAAGAACUCCGAUUGCGAAGGCAGCCAUCUGGGGUGCGAUUGACGCUGAGGCUCGAAAGUGCGGGAAUCAAACAGG
This 252-nucleotide unclassified non-coding RNA is filed under the name uncultured Prevotellaceae bacterium. RNAcentral describes it as "contains 16S-23S intergenic spacer region". It matches the Rfam family "Bacterial small subunit ribosomal RNA", at positions 524 to 776 of the family's 1533-position model. Lineage: Bacteria; Pseudomonadati; Bacteroidota; Bacteroidia; Bacteroidales; Prevotellaceae. The record is from RNAcentral.